RNAcentral lists this ribosomal RNA (497 nucleotides) under uncultured bacterium. RNAcentral describes it as "partial 16S ribosomal RNA". It matches the Rfam family "Bacterial small subunit ribosomal RNA", at positions 28 to 507 of the family's 1533-position model. The record is from RNAcentral.
GACGAACGCUGGCGGCGUGCCUAAUACAUGCAAGUUGAGCGAUGAAGAUUGGUGCUUGCACCAAUUUGAAGAGCAGCGAACGGGUGAGUAACGCGUGGGGAAUCUGCCUUUGAGCGGGGGACAACAUUUGGAAACGAAUGCUAAUACCGCAUAAUAACUUUAAACAUAAGUUUUAAGUUUGAAAGAUGCAAUUGCAUCACUCAAAGAUGAUCCCGCGUUGUAUUAGCUAGUUGGUGAGGUAAAGGCUCACCAAGGCGAUGAUACAUAGCCGACCUGAGAGGGUGAUCGGCCACAUUGGGACUGAGACACGGCCCAAACGCCUACGGGAGGCAGCAGUAGGGAAUCUUCGGCAAUGGACGAAAGUCUGACCGAGCAACGCCGCGUGAGUGAAGAAGGUUUUCGGAUCGUAAAACUCUGUUGGUAGAGAAGAACGUUGGUGAGAGUGGAAAGCGCAUCAAGUGACGGUAACUACCCAGAAAGGGACGGCUAACUACGUG